AAAACAAAUUUACGCUUUUCAAAGAAACUAGAUGUUUCAUUUCCAUUAAAGUAACAUACAUCAUGAUAACAUUCUAACAAUUCCUCCAAUUUGCUUAAAGCAUUCUUCCCCUACACUAUGAAAACAAUCCCCCCAAAAGGACAUAGAACUAAGAAAAAUAAAGCCCUGUGGAUCUAGUCUUUUUUAAAACAGAUUAAGCUUUCUUAGGAGACUUGGUGGCCUUUGAUGGAGAUUUGGGUUCUUUGCCGGCGGCCUUUUCAGUCUUCUUCGGCAAAAGAACUGGGUUGAUGUUCGGCAACACACCACCGUGAGCGAUUGUUACGCCGGCGAGAAGCUUCCCUAAUUCUUCGUCGUUCCUCACGGCAAGUAGAACGUGCCUUGGGAUGAUCCUGUUUUUCUUGUUGUCACGUGCAGCGUUCCCAGCCAAUUCCAGGACCUGAAUCCAAAUUCAAAUUGAGAAACACGAAAUUCAAGUAUACGAAAACACAGUUAAAGGAUUUCAAUUUAAUUUGAUAUACCUCAGCAGCCAAGUACUCAAGAACAGCAGCCAAGUAAACCGGGGCUCCGGUUCCAACACGCUGUGAAUACCUUCCUUUCUUCAAGUAACGGCCGAUCCUACCAACGGGGAACUGGAGACCAGCUUUGACAGACCUUGAAACGGGCUUCUUCUUCGGGCCACCACCUUUCCUUCCUCCGGCUCCCUUCUUUACUUUUCCUGAAGUUUCCAUUACUUCGAAACGACCCAAAUGCUUCGUUAACUUAAAACUCUUAGCUUUAGAAUUAGAGGAUAUUGAUUGGUACAGGAGAACUGAAGAAUGGAAUGGACGUCUCGGUAUUUUAUAGCAGUGGAUUUGGUGGAGAUGGUGUGAAGCAGGCGAGGAAUGAGUGCCGUUAGAUGGGAACUUAUUCGACGGUUCAAAUUUAGAUAUUGGGGAUCCGUGCGAUCUCCAAACAACCAAUGAGAAACAAACUAUCAAUUUUUUGAAUUUUUAUCUCAUUCUGAAGUAAUUUGGGCGCCAUUUACAAAUUUUUUGGUUUCCCGCUUCUGAAUUUCGGGUUCUUUUGAAGGCAUUUGUGGUUAGACAUAUUUGUUCGUCAUUUUAGAAUUUUCAGGUUGAAAGUUCAAUUACUAAAAAAUAUUAAAUUAUAAUUAUGGGUAAUUAUUUAAUACACUAUAAUCGGAGUUUUUUAAACUCUACAGGUGAGUUGAAAGUGAAGGUUAAAAUACCAUAGAGACACUUCUACUAAGAGUGAAGGUAUAUUUUUGUUUUUCAGCUCAAAAUAUGGAUAAAUUAAUUUGUAUACAUUUAAAUUAAAAAGUAAAUUAUUCAUUUCUUUUAAAAAAUUAUUCAUUUAUACUGUUAAAAAUUAGCGACAAUGAUAGAAUAACUAAAUAGUGAUUCUUAAUAUGCCACGUGUAUAUUAUGUUAAUGUAUAUGAAUCAAUUUUUAAGAGUAAAAAUAGACAAAAAAAUUUUAAUAGAAUAAUCAAUGUAUUAUUUGAUCUAGUGUAAAAUGGUAGAAUUAAAUUUAGAAGUGGAAGGUUUGAGUUUGGGUUUUAUCAUACUCAUUAAGAUUUACCACCAAACCAAAGCGAUUCUACUCGUUAUCCAUUAAGUAAAAAGAAAUUAAAGAUAAAAAAUGAGACAACAACCCAUAAAAAUUAAACCUCAAUUCUAAAAUCAAUGACUUCAAUUUUAAAAAAGAAGUCAAGAUACAUAAAACCCUUAAAUUAUUUUCUAAAAAAAACGAAAAUAAUGAGGUAAAAAUAAUUGUUGGAUACAAAACCAAAAAGCAAAGAGAUAGAUAAACAAAUAGAGAAAAUACAACUUUCAUGAAAUUAAAGUAUUAAAAUUGGGGAAAAAAAAGAAAAUAAUACCUAAAUUUCCCCUCUAUUUUCUCACUUUGAUCGUUGGAAAAAACUUUAACUUCAUUUUUCCAGGAUUUGUUAACAAUUGUAUUGAAUUUUUAGAUGAAUGGAUUAUUCUAAAGAGAGAAAAAUACAACAGAGAAAGAUAAACAAAAAGAUUGAAAAUAAUUUUAAUUUUUGGUAAUUGUCACUCAACUUAGAUUUUUUUUUCCUUUUCUCUUCUUCUAAUGUCUAGUUAGGGUUUUUAUUGGAGCUGUUUAAAUGACAACAUAGACUCCAGCGUGGCUAGUUAAAUGUCGCGUCAAUUCACCAUUAUGUUUGUAACGGAAAAUGGUUAGUAGGACCAAGUUGUUGUUUUUUGAAAAUUGAGUGAUUGUUGUAAAGAGAGAAAGAUAAACAAAGAAAUUGAAAAUAAUUUUAAGUUUUGGUAACCGUCACUCAACUUGGAUUUUUUUUCUUUUUCCCUUCUUAUACUAUCCAAUUAUGGUUUUUAUCGGGGUUGUUUAAAUGACAACAUAGGCUCCAACGUGGCCGUUUAAAUGCCAUGUCAAUUUUUUGUUACAUUUGUAAUGGAAAAUAGUUAGUAGGAAUGUUUUGUUAUUUUUUGAUAGUUGAGUGUCAAAGAAUAACCCAUAAAAAUUAAACCUCAAUCCUGAUAGAGUUGUUUAAAUGACAACAUAGACUCUAACUUGGUCAGUCAAAUGCCACGUCAAUUUACCGUUACGUUUGUAAUAAAAAUUGUUUAAUAAGAAUAUUUUGUUAUUUUUUAAAAGUUGAGUAACUGUUGGUAUAAUUUACCAUACUUUUUACCUAUAAAUAAAUUAUAAAAUAUUGUCCAUGUUUGAACUUACAGCGUGUUUGGUUCAAUAUUAUUAACAAUUAUGUUAAGAUAUGGCUAAAUUAUUUAUUAUUUUUUUAUUAAAUUAUAUUUAAUAAUAAUCUUAUUAAAAUUUAAUAACAAUAACAAUAAUUAUCUAUUUAACAAAAAAUUCUGCUAAGGGUACUUUGGCUAUUUAAGCCUUUUUCCUUAUGCUAUUACAACAUAUAUUAUAUUAAACCAAACACAAUAAUACUAUUACAGAUUUAUUCCAUUUCAUUCAAUCAAACAACUUUAUUACUAAUUACAACUCUAUUUCAUUACAGUUUUAUUUCAUUCCCCCAAACCAAACAUGCACUUUAAUGUUUAAUGUGAACAAUAACUUCAACAACUAAUCAGAAGAACCCUUAGAAGCUAUCAUGUGAGUAUUGGUUGUACAUACCACAUGAUAAAUUAUCAGAAUCUUAUAGCUUAGGUUAGUACUACAUUUGAACUUGUGAUAACGUGCUCGUAACCAAUGAGAAUUUGCUUCUCAUACACAUGUCCUUUUGCUCAAGCAGCCUCCAUGAUUUCAUCUUAUUUAUAAAAGAUGAAAACAAAAUUGUACCAACAAAAAUACAUCAAGAAUAGAAACUAGAUGUUUCAUUUCCAUUAAAGUAACGUACAUGAUAAUGGGACUCUUAACAGUUUUUCUAGUUUGCUUAAAACAUCCCAAAGGAAAUACAACUAAUAAAAAUAAAGCCAUAUUAAACUAUGUUUCUUAACAAUCAAAUUAAGCUUUCUUAGGAGACUUGGUAGCCUUUGAUGGAGAUUUGGGUUCUUUGCCGGCGGCCUUUUCAGUCUUCUUCGGCAAAAGAACUAGGUUGAUGUUCGGCAAUACGCCACCACGAGCGAUGGUUACGCCAGCGAGAAGCUUCCCUAAUUCUUCGUCGUUCCUCACGGCGAGUAGCACCUACCUUGGUAUGAUCCUAUUUUUCUUGUUGUCCCAAAUUAAGAAACACGAAAUUUAAGUAUACCCAAACACAGUUAAAUAAUUUGAUUUUAAUUUGAUAUACCUUAGCAGCCAAGUACUCAAGAACUGCAGCCAAGUAAACUGGGGCAUUUUCAGUUUAC
RNAcentral lists this long non-coding RNA (3799 nucleotides) under Gossypium barbadense (sea-island cotton). RNAcentral's name for it is "long non-coding RNA (GBAR_LNC006775)". The record is from RNAcentral. Lineage: Eukaryota; Viridiplantae; Streptophyta; Magnoliopsida; Malvales; Malvaceae.